This 231-nucleotide unclassified non-coding RNA is filed under the name plant metagenome. RNAcentral describes it as "partial contains small subunit ribosomal RNA, internal transcribed spacer 1, and 5.8S ribosomal RNA". The record is from RNAcentral.
UCUCCGUUGGUGAACCAGCGCAGGGAUCAUUACUGAGUUACCGCUCUACAACCCUUUGUGAACAUACCUAACUGUUGCUUCGGCGGGCAGAGGUCCCUCGCGGAUCUCUCCCGGCAACGCCCUCACGGGCGGAGCGCCCGCCGGAGGAUACCAAACUCUAUUUUAACGACGUUUCUUCUGAGUGGCACAAGCAAAUAAUUAAAACUUUUAACAACGGAUCUCUUGGUUCUG